This 31-nucleotide small RNA is filed under the name Bombyx mori (domestic silkworm). RNAcentral describes it as "ovarian small RNA-11868". The record is from RNAcentral. Lineage: Eukaryota; Metazoa; Arthropoda; Insecta; Lepidoptera; Bombycidae.
AGACGAUGAAGCCACGCCGGUAUACCGGUAC